Molecule: ribosomal RNA, 468 nt
Filed under: uncultured bacterium
Lineage: Bacteria
Description: partial 16S ribosomal RNA
Rfam family: Bacterial small subunit ribosomal RNA
Source: RNAcentral
GAUGAACGCUGGCGGCGUGCUUAACACAUGCAAGUCGAACGGAAAGGCCCUGCUUUUGUGGGGUGCUCGAGUGGCGAACGGGUGAGUAACACGCGAGUAACCUCCCCUUGUCUUUGGGAUAACUUCAGGAAACUGGGGCUAAUACCGGAUAGGAGCUCCUGCUCCAUGUGGGGGGUUGGAAAGUUUCGGCGGUUGGGGAUGGACUCGCGGCUUACCGGCUUGUUGGUGGGGUAGUGGCUUACCAAGGUUGUGACGGGUAGGCGGCCUGGGAGGGUGACCGGGCACAAUAGGACUGAGGGACGGACCAGACGGCUACGGGAGGCAGCGGGGGGGAAUAUUGCACAGUGGGCGGAAGCCUGAUGCAACAACGCCGGGUGCGGGAUGACGGGCUUCGGGUUAAAAACCGAUUUCGCCUGUGACGAAGCGUGAGUGACGGUAAUGAGUAAAGAAGCACCGGCUAACUACGUG